This 251-nucleotide ribosomal RNA is filed under the name uncultured prokaryote. Its description in RNAcentral is "partial 16S rRNA". It matches the Rfam family "Bacterial small subunit ribosomal RNA", at positions 525 to 775 of the family's 1533-position model. The record is from RNAcentral.
ACGUAAGGGGCGAGCGUUGUUCGGAAUUAUUGGGCGUAAAGGGUGCGUAGGCGGUCGUGCAAGCCUGGUGUGAAAUCCUGGGGCUUAACCCCAGAACUGCAUUGGGAACUGCGGGACUAGAGUCAUGGAAGGGGAGUUGGAAUUCCAGGUGUAGGGGUGAAAUCUGUAGAUAUCUGGAAGAACACCGGUGGCGAAGGCGAACUCCUGGCCAAUGACUGACGCUGAGGCACGAAAGUGCGGGGAGCAAACAG